This 497-nucleotide ribosomal RNA is filed under the name uncultured bacterium. Its description in RNAcentral is "partial 16S ribosomal RNA". It matches the Rfam family "Bacterial small subunit ribosomal RNA", at positions 28 to 507 of the family's 1533-position model. The record is from RNAcentral.
GAUGAACGCUGGCGGCGUGCCUAACACAUGCAAGUCGAGCGAACAGACGAUGAGCGCUUUCUUCUGCCGUUAGCGGCGGACGGGCGGGUAACACGUGGAUCACCUACUUAUUUUUCUGGGAUAAUUUCGGGAAACCGCUUCCGCUACUAGCUAAUACAUCCAACCGGUGGGAUCAAUAGUGAUUCACGGCUUUGCCGUUUCUAAUAGAUGAUUCCGCGUCGGAUUAGCUAGUUGGUAAGGUAACGGCUUACCAAGGCUACGAUGCGUAGCUGACCUGAGAGGAUGAUCAGCCACACUGGAACUGAGACACGGUCCAGACUCCUACGGGAGGCAGCAGUGGGGAAUCUUGGGCAAUGGGCGAAAGCCUGACGGAGCAAUGCCGCGUGAGUGAUGAAGGUCUUCGGUUCGUAAAGCUCUGUUAUUAGGGAAGAAAAGAUGUGUGUGUAUCUCUGCACGUCUUGACGGUACCUAAUGAAAAAGCAACGGCUAACUACGUG